GAGACAGAGAACCUGGGGAACCUAUAAUGGCCUGAAGAUAAGAGUGAGGCUGGUCCCAGAUGACAGCAUGUCAGCCAGAAACCCACACCAGCAAGCAGUGCUAAUGAACACCUGUCAGACGUCUGGGGAGGCAGAAUGGAGGAGUUUCAGAUGGAGAGCACGUUUCCAGAGAUUCUUUGCAAAGCCCGAUUCUGGGAGUAAGAUUGAGACACAC
Mauremys reevesii (Reeves's turtle) is the source of this 214-nucleotide long non-coding RNA. RefSeq lists it as uncharacterized. The record is from RefSeq and is a predicted model, not a curated record. NCBI's taxonomy places the organism in Eukaryota, Metazoa, Chordata, Testudines, Geoemydidae. The transcript has 3 exons.